UACAGAGGAUGCAAGCGUUAUCCGGAAUUAUUGGGCGUAAAGAGUCCGUAGGGGGCAUUUCAAGUCUGUCGUUAAAGACCGCAGCUUAACUGCGGGCCAGCGAUGGAAACUGAAAAGCUAGAGAGCAGUAGGGGCAGAGGGAAUUCCCAGUGUAGCGGUGAAAUGCGUAGAGAUUGGGAAGAACAUCGGUGGCGAAAGCGCUCUGCUGGGCUGAAUCUGACCCUGAGGGACGAAAGCUAGGGGAGCAAAAGGG
RNAcentral lists this ribosomal RNA (253 nucleotides) under uncultured bacterium. Its description in RNAcentral is "partial 16S ribosomal RNA". It matches the Rfam family "Bacterial small subunit ribosomal RNA", at positions 524 to 776 of the family's 1533-position model. The record is from RNAcentral.